AAGGAGUGUGUAACAACUCACCUGCCGAAUGGACUAGCCCUGAAAAUGGAUGGCGCUGAAGCGGGUCACUUAUACUCCACCACUGGCGCAAAGGCUUGGCGCCAGUGAGUAGGAGGGCGUGAAGGUUGUCGUGCAGCUCGUGGCGCGAGCCAGAGUGAAACGGCCUUUAGUGCAGAUCUUGGUGGUAGUAGCAAAUAUUCAAAUGAGAACUUUGAAGACUGAAGUGGGGAAAGGUUCCACGUGAACAGCAAUUGGACGUGGGUUAGUCGAUCCUAAGAGAUAGGAGAAAUCCGUUAGAAAGCGGGCCGUUCUCGGAUGGCCCCGCCUAUCGAAAGGGAAUCGGGUUAACAUUCCCGAACCAGGACGUGGAUGCCAAGUGGCGACACAAGCGAAGCCGAGGACGGCUGUGGGGGCCCCGACGAGAGUUUUCUUUUCUUGUUAACGAACGCACCGACCCCGGAAUCGGAUUGACCGGAGAUUGGGUGGGAGGUUCGGAAAAGGCGGUCGGCUUUGGACCGUUUCGGUGCGCCCCCAACGCCCCUUGAAAACUCGGCGGCGUGCUUUAUUUGCACUCCUGGCCGUACUCAUCACCGCAUCAGGUCUCCAAGGUUAGCAGCCUCUAGUCGAUAGAAGAAUGUAGUUAAGGGAAGUCGGCAAAAUGGAUCCGUAACCUCGGGAUAAGGAUUGGCUCUCAGGGUUGGGCCUAGGGGUCUCCUUCUGGACGCGGGGAUGCCUGGCUGGACUGCUUCGCGGCGGACGGGCCGGGCGGCCCCGUUGCUUUCCGGGAGGAGAAUAUCCACGGCGAUGAACAACCGGCUGAGAACUGGAGCGGACAAGGGGAAUCCGACU
RNAcentral lists this ribosomal RNA (849 nucleotides) under uncultured eukaryote. RNAcentral's name for it is "partial Eukaryotic large subunit ribosomal RNA". It matches the Rfam family "Eukaryotic large subunit ribosomal RNA", at positions 1273 to 2139 of the family's 3401-position model. The record is from RNAcentral.